GGUGACUAGUGACAGCGUUAGGGAGGGAAGGGGUGACUAGUGACAGAGUGAGGAAGGGGGUGACUAGUGACAGAGGGAGGGGUGACUAGGGACAGAGUGAGGGAGGUGGUGACUAGUGACUAGUGACAGUCACCACCUCCCUCACUCUGUCACUAGUCACCCCCUCCCUCACCGUGUCACCCCCUCCCUCUGUCACUGGUCACCCACUCCUUCCCUCACUCUGUCACCAGUCACCCCUUCCUUCCCUCUGUCACUAGUCACCCCUUCCCUCACUCUGUCACCCCCUUACUCUG
Non-coding RNA from Pelobates cultripes (western spadefoot toad), 293 nucleotides. The record is from the annotation of a GenBank genome assembly. NCBI's taxonomy places the organism in Eukaryota, Metazoa, Chordata, Amphibia, Anura, Pelobatidae.